AUUGAACGCUGGCGGCAGGCCUAACACAUGCAAGUCGAGCGGAAACGACACCUCCGGGUGGGCGUCGAGCGGCGGACGGGUGAGUAACGCAUAGGAAUCUGCCCGGUCGUGGGGGAUAACCUGGGGAAACUCAGGCUAAUACCGCAUACGUCCUACGGGAGAAAGGGGGCUCCGGCUCCCGCGAUCGGAUGAGCCUAUGUCGGAUUAGCCGGCUGGUGAGGUAACGGCUCACCAGGGCGACGAUCCGUAGCUGGUUUGAGAGGAUGAUCAGCCACACCGGGACUGAGACACGGCCCGGACUCCUACGGGAGGCAGCAGUGGGGAAUAUUGGACAAUGGGCGCAAGCCUGAUCCAGCCAUGCCGCGUGUGUGAAGAAGGCUUUCGGGUUGUAAAGCACUUUCAGUGAGGAAGAACGCUGUCGGGUUAAUACCCCGGCAGAGAGACAUCACUCACAGAAGAAGCACCGGCUAACUCCGUGCCAGCAGCCGCGGUAAUACGGAGGGUGCAAGCGUUAAUCGGAAUGACUGGGCGUAAAGCGCGCGUAGGCGGCACGAUCAGCCGGUUGUGAAAGCCCCGGGCUCAACCCGGGAACCGCAUCCGGAACUGUCGCGCUGGAGUGCAGGAGAGGAAGGUAGAAUUCCCGGUGUAGCGGUGAAAUGCGUAGAGAUCGGGAGGAAUACCAGUGGCGAAGGCGGCCUUCUGGACUGACACUGACGCUGAGGCGCGAAAGCAUGGGUAGCAAACAGGAUUAGAUACCCUGGUAGUCCAUGCCGUAAACGAUGUCGACCAGCCGUUGGGGUCCUUGAGACCCUUGUGGCGAAGUUAACGCGAUAAGUCGACCGCCUGGGGAGUACGGCCGCAAGGUUAAAACUCAAAUGAAUUGACGGGGGCCCGCACAAG
RNAcentral lists this ribosomal RNA (900 nucleotides) under uncultured bacterium. RNAcentral describes it as "bacterial SSU rRNA". It matches the Rfam family "Bacterial small subunit ribosomal RNA", at positions 28 to 929 of the family's 1533-position model. The record is from RNAcentral.